This 945-nucleotide small RNA is filed under the name Pan troglodytes (chimpanzee). Its description in RNAcentral is "retained intron". The record is from RNAcentral. Lineage: Eukaryota; Metazoa; Chordata; Mammalia; Primates; Hominidae.
AUGUCAUCACGCCCAAGGUCUGAGAAGGCACUGGGAGGUACUGAUCGGGGUCUUGGUGGUCUCCAUCCUGCUUCUCUCCCUCCUCCUCUUCCUCCUCCUCCAACACUGGCGUCAGGGAAAACACAGGACAUUGGCCCAGAGACAGGCUGAUUUCCAACGUCCUCCAGGGGCUGCAGAGCCAGAGCCCAAGGACGGGGGCCUACAGAGGAGGUCCAGCCCAGCUGCUGACGUCCAGGGAGAAAACCUCUCAGAUGCUGCCGUGAAGAACACACAGCCUGAGGACAGGGUGGAAAUGGACACUUGGGUGAGACCCCGCCCCUGUCCCAGGCACCAAAGGCCUCCUGGUGCCAGAUCUAAUCCUGCAGGACUUCUCUGUCCUCCUUCCCCCGGCUCUCAGCAUCGUCACGGUGGACCCCUCCUUGUCCAGCACUCUGCCUCCCGCCUGCUGGGACCUCACUCUCUCCUGGUGUCCUGGGACCUCGUGGGCCUCCUCCCCGGUCCCCUUCCUGCUCCUCAUCCUCUGUUUGGCCCUCUGGUUGUUAGAGCGCUCCCCAGGCCUCAGGAGGAUGAGGAAUAAAUGAACCACCUCGGUCCCCUGGGCUCCCCUUCAUUCAUUCAUCCAGCGAGUGUUCCCAGGGAGCUCACUGUGGAUUGGGCUCCCCAUGGGAGCUGCAGACACAGCAGGGAGGAAAGCCGCCCCCGCCUCCUGAGCUCACCUCAUGGUGGGAGACAAAAUGCAAAUGAAUGCACUGUGUCCAGGAGUGCAAUGUGCUGUAAGGAACAUAAACCAGGGAAAGGGCAGAGAGUGUGGGGCAGUGGGGCCAGUCUGAAUGGAAGGGGAGGGCUGUCUGCUCAGUUGUCAUCUGAGAAGCCUGGACGGAGGGGGCCACACGAUCCUCUAAUGGACGAGCCCCUGCAGGCAGAGGAAACAGCCAUGCAAAGGCC